This 1020-nucleotide ribosomal RNA is filed under the name uncultured bacterium. RNAcentral's name for it is "bacterial SSU rRNA". It matches the Rfam family "Bacterial small subunit ribosomal RNA", at positions 338 to 1373 of the family's 1533-position model. The record is from RNAcentral.
CCUACGGGAGGCAGCAGUGGGGAAUAUUGCACAAUGGGCGAAAGCCUGAUGCAGCAACGCCGCGUGCGGGAUGACGGCCUUCGGGUUGUAAACCGCUUUCAGUUCCGACGAAGGUAACCUGACGGUAGGAACAGAAGAAGGACCGGCCAACUACGUGCCAGCAGCCGCGGUGAUACGUAGGGUCCGAGCGUUGUCCGGAAUUAUUGGGCGUAAAGGGCUUGUAGGCGGUUUGUCGCGUCGGAAGUGAAAACUCAGGGCUUAACCCUGAGCCUGCUUCCGAUACGGGCAAACUAGAGGGAUGCAGGGGAGAACGGAAUUCCUGGUGGAGCGGUGGAAUGCGCAGAUAUCAGGAGGAACACCGGUGGCGAAGGCGGUUCUCUGGGCAUUUCCUGACGCUGAGAAGCGAAAGCGUGGGGAGCAAACAGGCUUAGAUACCCUGGUAGUCCACGCCGUAAACGGUGGGCACUAGGUGUGGGGAACAUUCCACGUUCUCCGUGCCGCAGCUAACGCAUUAAGUGCCCCGCCUGGGGAGUACGGCCGCAAGGCUAAAACUCAAAGGAAUUGACGGGGGCCCGCACAAGCGGCGGAGCAUGUUGCUUAAUUCGAUGCAACGCGAAGAACCUUGCCUAGGCUUGACAUGCACGGAAAUCUCCCAGAGAUGGGGGGUCCGUAAGGGCCGUGCACAGGUGGUGCAUGGUUGUCGUCAGCUCGUGUCGUGAGAUGUUGGGUUAAGUCCCGCAACGAGCGCAACCCUCGUUCUAUGUUGCCAGCGGGUAAUGCCGGGGACUCAUAGGAGACUGCCGGGGUCAACUCGGAGGAAGGUGGGGAUGACGUCAAGUCAGCAUGGCCCCUUAUGUCUUGGGCUACACGCACGCUACAAUGUCCGGGACAGAUGGCAGUCAAUCCGCGAGGUGGAGCGAAUCCUCUCCAAUCCGGUUCUAUUUGGAUCGUGGCUUGAACCCGCCACGUGAUCUGGAGUCCUAUAACCCGCGCGCCACCCCUCCUGCGGUGCAUCUCUCC